Molecule: ribosomal RNA, 763 nt
Filed under: uncultured Streptococcus sp.
Lineage: Bacteria; Bacillati; Bacillota; Bacilli; Lactobacillales; Streptococcaceae
Description: bacterial SSU rRNA
Rfam family: Bacterial small subunit ribosomal RNA
Source: RNAcentral
GACGAACGCUGGCGGCGUGCCUAAUACAUGCAAGUAGAACGCUGAAGGAGGAGCUUGCUCUUCUGGAUGAGUUGCGAACGGGUGAGUAACGCGUAGGUAACCUGCCUGGUAGCGGGGGAUAACUAUUGGAAACGAUAGCUAAUACCGCAUAACAACAGUUGUUGCAUGACAGCUGUUUAAAAGAUGCAAUUGCAUCACUACCAGAUGGACCUGCGUUGUAUUAGCUAGUUGGUGAGGUAACGGCUCACCAAGGCAACGAUACAUAGCCGACCUGAGAGGGUGAUCGGCCACACUGGGACUGAGACACGGCCCAGACUCCUACGGGAGGCAGCAGUAGGGAAUCUUCGGCAAUGGACGGAAGUCUGACCGAGCAACGCCGCGUGAGUGAAGAAGGUUUUCGGAUCGUAAAGCUCUGUUGUAAGAGAAGAACGAGUGUGAGAGUGGAAAGUUCACACUGUGACGGUAUCUUACCAGAAAGGGACGGCUAACUACGUGCCAGCAGCCGCGGUAAUACGUAGGUCCCGAGCGUUGUCCGGAUUUAUUGGGCGUAAAGCGAGCGCAGGCGGUUAGAUAAGUCUGAAGUUAAAGGCUGUGGCUUAACCAUAGUACGCUUUGGAAACUGUUUAACUUGAGUGCAAGAGGGGAGAGUGGAAUUCCAUGUGUAGCGGUGAAAUGCGUANAUAUAUGGAGGAACACCGGUGGCGAAAGCGGCUCUCUGGCUUGUAACUGACGCUGAGGCUCNAAAGCGUGGGGAGCAAACAGG